This 253-nucleotide ribosomal RNA is filed under the name uncultured bacterium. Its description in RNAcentral is "partial 16S ribosomal RNA". It matches the Rfam family "Bacterial small subunit ribosomal RNA", at positions 524 to 776 of the family's 1533-position model. The record is from RNAcentral.
UACGUAGGUGGCAAGCGUUGUCCGGAUUUACUGGGCGUAAAGGAUGCGUAGGCGGACAUUUAAGUCAGAUGUGAAAUACCCGAGCUUAACUUGGGUGCUGCAUUUGAAACUGGGUGUCUAGAGUGCAGGAGAGGUAAGUGGAAUUCUUAGUGUAGCGGUGAAAUGCGUAGAGAUUAGGAAGAACACCAGUGGCGAAGGCGACUUACUGGACUGUAACUGACGCUGAGGCAUGAAAGCGUGGGGAGCAAACAGG